AUUGAACGCUGGCGGCAUGCCUUACACAUGCAAGUCGAACGGCAGCACGGGAGCAAUCCUGGUGGCGAGUGGCGAAUGGGUGAGUAAUAUAUCGGAACGUGCCCAGUAGUGGGGGAUAGCCCGGCGAAAGCCGGAUUAAUACCGCAUACGACCUGAGGGUGAAAGCGGGGGAUCGCAAGACCUCGCGCUAUUGGAGCGGCCGAUAUCAGAUUAGCUUGUUGGUGGGGUAAAAGCCUACCAAGGCGACGAUCUGUAGCUGGUCUGAGAGGACGACCAGCCACACUGGGACUGAGACACGGCCCAGACUCCUACGGGAGGCAGCAGUGGGGAAUUUUGGACAAUGGGCGCAAGCCUGAUCCAGCCAUGCCGCGUGCGGGAAGAAGGCCUUCGGGUUGUAAACCGCUUUUGUCAGGGAAGAAACGGCUCUUGAUAAUACCGAGAGCUAAUGACGGUACCUGAAGAAUAAGCACCGGCUAACUACGUGCCAGCAGCCGCUGCAG
Molecule: ribosomal RNA, 500 nt
Filed under: uncultured bacterium
Lineage: Bacteria
Description: partial 16S ribosomal RNA
Rfam family: Bacterial small subunit ribosomal RNA
Source: RNAcentral